CAUGGUGCAUGCAUUUCUAUUCAUUGGAUACUAUAAUAUUAUGUUUUACUGUGGUAUGGGAUAACUUUGGAUAUCAUGGUAUUCUUUCUCCGUUGGAUGUUUUAUUACGUUUUAUUUCGGACUAGUGCUUCCGAUCUCUCUUGCUCUGCGAACAGAGAUUGUUUCACAAUGAGGAAUCUGAUCUGCGGGUUUCAUAUGGUGGAACCUUUUUAUGGUACGUCAUUUCUACUUCUUAUCAAAUCCUUACGUUUGAAAACUGCAUUCGAAUUUAAUACACUAACAUGUCUACCAUUCUCUAUUUUAAUUAACUUUCACAGAUAAACAUUUCACACAAAAGUCCAUACCCUCUUCCCCAAUAUGUCACAAUAUCACAGCGGUUCAACAGCGAAAUGAUUCCGCCAUUUUGUUGAACGUCACGUGGUCAGGGCCAGCAGAUGGUUCAGUUGGUUUUCUGCAAGGGUUUCUAGUGUAUGUUAGGAGCUCUGAUCCCACCUACACCUACCCGAAAGUUAGCUACCACGUCGAUCUGACAGAGAACGCCAGAUUCUUCAAGAAUGAAACCUUAUUUAACACAAUCAGGAGAGGAGUGUUCAGUGUGCUUUGUAACUACACACGUGUUCGAAAAGAGACGUUGGAUUUCUACAUAAGAAGUCUACCCUCUCCAGAAGACGGUGACAAUAACCUCAAAGAAUGUUGGUCAACCCUUCAGCCAUAUUCCGC
Molecule: long non-coding RNA, 720 nt
Organism: Saccostrea cuccullata (small rock oyster)
Lineage: Eukaryota; Metazoa; Mollusca; Bivalvia; Ostreida; Ostreidae
Exons: 4
Source: RefSeq, a predicted model, not a curated record